Amblyraja radiata (thorny skate) is the source of this 378-nucleotide long non-coding RNA. RefSeq lists it as uncharacterized. The record is from RefSeq and is a predicted model, not a curated record. The transcript has 2 exons. Lineage: Eukaryota; Metazoa; Chordata; Chondrichthyes; Rajiformes; Rajidae.
GUAAAGAUGUGGACUAGUUCUUGGUACAAGAGAGAUGCUUGCAGAAGCAAUAGAAAUAUAGUCAUGGGCACCUCAACAGAAGGAUGAGAUGGAUUCUGGCUGACCCGCUGAGUUCCUCCAGAGCUUUAUGGUUUGUUCGAUCCCAGCUUCCAUAGUUCACCAUUGUGUCUCCGUUGUGGUCAUUUAUUUUUCCUGUUUACACCAGUGUUUGCAUUGUUUCCUGCUGACAUGCGAGGAGCUGAGAGAAGAAAAUAACUAAAUUUACUUGGAGGGAAUCCUGUGACCCAAGGGAAGGAAAUCAAUAAUUGGGAAGUGUCUUCUUUUGAAAAAGUAAACAAGAUGAAUGUAUUCAAUUGAAUAAAGACAACAUUUUGGAAA